GCCGCCUUAGCUCAGUUGGUAGAGCACUUGACUUGUAAUCAUGAGGUCUCCGGUUCAAAUCCGGGAGGCGGCU
RNAcentral lists this transfer RNA (73 nucleotides) under Treponema sp. Its description in RNAcentral is "tRNA-Thr". It matches the Rfam family "tRNA". Rfam says of the family: Transfer RNA (tRNA) molecules are approximately 80 nucleotides in length. Their secondary structure includes four short double-helical elements and three loops (D, anti-codon, and T loops). Further hydrogen bonds mediate the characteristic L-shaped molecular structure. tRNAs have two regions of fundamental functional importance: the anti-codon, which is responsible for specific mRNA codon recognition, and the 3' end, to which the tRNAs corresponding amino acid is attached (by aminoacyl-tRNA synthetases). tRNAs cope with the degeneracy of the genetic code in two manners: having more than one tRNA (with a specific anti-codon) for a particular amino acid; and 'wobble' base-pairing, i.e. permitting non-standard base-pairing at the 3rd anti-codon position. The record is from RNAcentral. Lineage: Bacteria; Pseudomonadati; Spirochaetota; Spirochaetia; Treponematales; Treponemataceae.